This 292-nucleotide long non-coding RNA is filed under the name Nicotiana tabacum (common tobacco). RNAcentral describes it as "long non-coding RNA (NTAB_LNC008794)". Lineage: Eukaryota; Viridiplantae; Streptophyta; Magnoliopsida; Solanales; Solanaceae. The record is from RNAcentral.
CAACUUUUAAAAAUAAAACGCCAUUCCUUUCUUUAGGCUGGCGAGAUUUCAACAACUUUUAAAAAUAAAACGCCUUUCCUCUCUUCAGGCGGGCUCCUGACCUCAACAACAACUUUGAAAAAUAAAACGUCUUUCCUCUCUUCAGGCGGGCUCCUGACUUCAACAACAACUUUGAAAAUAAAAUGCCAUUCCUUUCUUUAGGUUGGCGAGAUUUAAACAACUUUAAAAAUAAAACGUCUUUCCUCUCUUCAAGCGGGCUCCUGACCUCAACAACAACUUUGAAAAUAAAAUG